This 496-nucleotide ribosomal RNA is filed under the name uncultured bacterium. Its description in RNAcentral is "partial 16S ribosomal RNA". It matches the Rfam family "Bacterial small subunit ribosomal RNA", at positions 29 to 507 of the family's 1533-position model. The record is from RNAcentral.
AUGCACGCUGGCGGCGUGCCUCAUCCCUGCAAGUCGCGCGCACGGACGAGAAGCUUGCUUCUCUGAUGUUAGCGGCGGACGGGUGAGUAACACGUGGAUAACCUACCUAUAAGACUGGGAUAACUUCGGGAAACCGGAGCUAAUACCGGAUAAUAUUUUGAACCGCAUGGUUCAAAAGUGAAAGACGGUCUUGCUGUCACUUAUAGAUGGAUCCGCGCUGCAUUAGCUAGUUGGUAAGGUAACGGCUUACCAAGGCAACGAUGCAUAGCCGACCUGAGAGGGUGAUCGGCCACACUGGAAGUGAGACACGGUCCAGACUCCUACGGGAGGCAGCAGUAGGGAAUCUUCCGCAAUGGGCGAAAGCCUGACGGAGCAACGCCGCGUGAGUGAUGAAGGUCUUCGGAUCGUAAAACUCUGUUAUUAGGGAAGAACAUAUGUGUAAGUAACUGUGCACAUCUUGACGGUACCUAAUCAGAAAGCCACGGCUAACUACGUG